Long non-coding RNA from Ictalurus punctatus (channel catfish), 680 nucleotides. RefSeq lists it as uncharacterized. The record is from RefSeq and is a predicted model, not a curated record. Lineage: Eukaryota; Metazoa; Chordata; Actinopteri; Siluriformes; Ictaluridae. The transcript has 3 exons.
GUGAUUCCGAGUUCCUCGCUCCUCUGGCAUUUCCGGGUCCCGCUUCCGUCCAGGUACGGUCAGGCUUUAUCACGGUGUAACGCGGUGAAUACUGCAAGGCUAAUUUGUAGUUUAUAGUCUUAGAGCGGCGCUGGUGGUGUGUGCAUUGAGGCGAAUUGGCGCCAAAUAUCGCGUUCAGAGAUCACAACAUUUAGCCGGUGGCUGAAUGAUAUGUAUAUGUAUGUCGAGCCGCGGUACCUGUGAGUAAUUAUACAACUUCGCGUGUGAUGUUUGUUCAAUCUAAUGGAGCCAGUGAGUCUUGGUGGGACAGGGGAGUGGGUUUGGAUGACCUCCAGAGUUGUUGCUGGCCUGCCUUGUCCCUGCCAAGCCUGGGCCUGGAGAAGUGCUUAGUUUUAAAACUUUUGUUGUGCUUCAUGGGAAAAUGUUUAUAUCUUCAUGUCAAGUUUUAAAUGAUGCUGAAGUGUCAUAAUAAAAUUACUUAUAUUUGUACUUGUCUCACUCUCAUGUUCCUUACCCCGAGUGGUGAAACUUGUGUGCCUUUUUAUUUGGGAGUAUUUCCCUGGCUCUCCCCCAGGGUGGUGUAUUUGGAUUUACUGAAUUUGUUUUCCUUCCGCUUGGGAAUGACACAUUUUGGUGUCAUUGGCAGGAUAAAUGUCUCCCUCCACUUGGGAAUUGCCACA